Molecule: ribosomal RNA, 498 nt
Filed under: uncultured bacterium
Lineage: Bacteria
Description: partial 16S ribosomal RNA
Rfam family: Bacterial small subunit ribosomal RNA
Source: RNAcentral
AUUGAACGCUGGCGGCAUGCCUUACACAUGCAAGUCGAACGGUAACGCGGGGCAACCUGGCGACGAGUGGCGAACGGGUGAGUAACGCAUCGGAACGUGCCCAGUAGUGGGGGAUAGCCCGGCGAAAGCCGGAUUAAUACCGCAUACGACCUACGGGUGAAAGCGGGGGACCGCAAGGCCUCGCGCUGUUGGAGCGGCCGAUGUCAGAUUAGGUAGUUGGUUGGGUAAAGGCCUACCAAGCCUGCGAUCUGUAGCUGGUCUGAGAGGACGACCAGCCACAAUGGGACUGAGACACGGCCCAGGCUCCUACGGGAGGCAGCAGUGGGGAAUUUUGGACAAGGGGGGAAACCCUGAUCCAGCCAUGCCGCGUGCGGGAAGAAGGCCUUCGGGUUGUAAACCGCUUUUGUCAGGGAAGAAAUCCCUCGGGUUAAUACCCUGGGGGGAUGACGGUACCUGAAGAAUAAGCACCGGCUAACUACGUGCCAGCCGCCGCCGUAA